GGACGAGGCUACCAUGCAAGUCGAGCGGUAGCACAGAGAGCUUGCUCUCGGGUGACGAGCGGCGGACGGGUGAGUAAUGUCUGGGAAACUGCCUGAUGGAGGGGGAUAACUACUGGAAACGGUAGCUAAUACCGCAUAACGUCGCAAGACCAAAGUGGGGGACCUUCGGGCCUCAUGCCAUCAGAUGUGCCCAGAUGGGAUUAGCUAGUAGGUGGGGUAAUGGCUCACCUAGGCGACGAUCCCUAGCUGGUCUGAGAGGAUGACCAGCCACACUGGAACUGAGACACGGUCCAGACUCCUACGGGAGGCAGCAGUGGGGAAUAUUGCACAAUGGGCGCAAGCCUGAUGCAGCCAUGCCGCGUGUAUGAAGAAGGCCUUCGGGUUGUAAAGUACUUUCAGCGAGGAGGAAGGCGUUAAGGUUAAUAACCUUAGCGAUUGACGUUACUCGCAGAAGAAGCACCGGCUAACUCCGUGCCAGCAGCCGCGGUAAUACGGAGGGUGCAAGCGUUAAUCGGAAUUACUGGGCGUAAAGCGCACGCAGGCGGUCUGUUAAGUCAGAUGUGAAAUCCCCGGGCUCAACCUGGGAACUGCAUUUGAAACUGGCAGGCUUGAGUCUUGUAGAGGGGGGUAGAAUUCCAGGUGUAGCGGUGAAAUGCGUAGAGAUCUGGAGGAAUACCGGUGGCGAAGGCGGCCCCCUGGACAAAGACUGACGCUCAGGUGCGAAAGCGUGGGGAGCAAACAGGAUUAGAUACCCUGGUAGUCCACGCUGUAAACGAUGUCGACUUGGAGGUUGUUCCCUUGAGGAGUGGCUUCCGGAGCUAACGCGUUAAGUCGACCGCCUGGGGAGUACGGCCGCAAGGUUAAAACUCAAAUGAAUUGACGGGGGCCCGCACAAGCGGUGGAGCAUGUGGUUAAUUCGAUGCAACGCGAAGACCUUACCUACUCUUGACUCCAGAGACUUAGCAGAGAUGCUUUGGUGCUUCGGAACUCUGAAAAGGUGCUGAUGCUUG
RNAcentral lists this ribosomal RNA (1010 nucleotides) under Klebsiella ornithinolytica. RNAcentral's name for it is "bacterial SSU rRNA". It matches the Rfam family "Bacterial small subunit ribosomal RNA", at positions 41 to 1051 of the family's 1533-position model. Lineage: Bacteria; Pseudomonadati; Pseudomonadota; Gammaproteobacteria; Enterobacterales; Enterobacteriaceae. The record is from RNAcentral.